GUGCUAACUGCUAAGGGACCGCACAAACAAACGCUGACAAAGAUGUGAGGUCAAAUUUCGGAGCCAUAACGACGAUAUAAACUAUAAAGAAGCUGAGUCAGACUCUGGACACUUUCUGCCACCUACAGAAUAUUAUGAGGAGACCUCCACACGACUCCAUCCAUCGCUGUCCCCUCACUGUCUGAUCCAAGAGAGGUGGAGCUCAUACUGAGCGUGCUUAAAUAAUCGGCUGCGGAAACAAAGGGACAAAAUGACGUAGCCUGCACAUGUUGCAUGU
Long non-coding RNA from Syngnathoides biaculeatus (alligator pipefish), 277 nucleotides. RefSeq lists it as uncharacterized. The transcript is spliced from 3 exons. Lineage: Eukaryota; Metazoa; Chordata; Actinopteri; Syngnathiformes; Syngnathidae. The record is from RefSeq and is a predicted model, not a curated record.